ACGGAGGGAGCGAGCGUUGUUCGGAAUUACUGGGCGUAAAGGGCGCGUAGGCGGUCUCGUAAGUCGGGUGUGAAAUUCCGGGGCUCAACCCCGAGAACUGCAUCCGAUACUGCUUGACUUGAGAGAGGUAGGGGCGAGUGGAAUUCCCGGUGUAGCGGUGGAAUGCGUAGAUAUCGGGAAGAACACCGGUGGCGAAGGCGGCUCGCUGGACCUUUUCUGACGCUGAAGCGCGAAAGCGUGGGGAGCAAACAGG
This 253-nucleotide ribosomal RNA is filed under the name uncultured bacterium. RNAcentral's name for it is "partial 16S ribosomal RNA". It matches the Rfam family "Bacterial small subunit ribosomal RNA", at positions 525 to 776 of the family's 1533-position model. The record is from RNAcentral.